This 852-nucleotide ribosomal RNA is filed under the name Xerocampylaea erjaveci floerickei. Its description in RNAcentral is "partial 16S ribosomal RNA". The stretch from base 349 to 589 matches the Rfam family "Archaeal large subunit ribosomal RNA", at positions 1786 to 2143 of the family's 2987-position model. Lineage: Eukaryota; Metazoa; Mollusca; Gastropoda; Stylommatophora; Hygromiidae. The record is from RNAcentral.
GUGUACUAUAAUGUUUUAUUAUAUAAAGUUCACGAAUAUGGGCGAGCUAAAAAGUUAUAUAAUUUGGUAUAUAUAAUAAUUGUUGCAUUAAUUAGCAAAAUAAUUUUUUAGGGGUGAAAGGCUUGUCAAGCCCAUGGAUAUCUUGAUAGGGAAGAAACAUAUAUAGUAUAUAAUUAAACCAAAAAUGCUAAGGUUUUUGGUGGGUAUUAUAGUGCAUAAUUAAAUCUUUAUUUGAAUAAUAUCUAUAGAGUUUAUCUUAUAACUAUAUAUUAGUUAGUGUAUAUACUUUUUAUUUCCUAAUAAUUAAGAAUGUAUUUAUUUUGAUAUAAUGUAUACAUUAGUAUUUCAUAAGUUUUAUGUAAGGAACUCGGCAAAAAAAUUUUCGACUGUUUACCAAAAACAUAGCUCUAUGUUAUUAUUUAGGGUUGUCCCUGCUCAAUGGUGUUUACUAAAUAGCCGCAGUACCUUGACUGUGCAAAGGUAGCAUAAUCAGUUGGCUUAUAAUUGAAGUCUGGAAUGAAGGGGUUUACGGAAAUUGACUGUCUCAAUUAAAAUCUUUAGAAUUUACUUAAUAAGUGAAAAUUCUUAUAUAUAGAAGCUAGACGAGAAGACCCUAGAAAUUUUAUAAAAUAUUUUAUAUUUUCAUUUUGUUGGGGCGACAAGGUAACAGAUAAACUUACCUAAAGUAAUAAGAAAAUAAUUAUUUGGGCAAUUAAAUUACUCUAGGGAUAACAGCACAAUUUAAUAUUAAGUUUGUGACCUCGAUGUUGGACUAGGAACUGUUUUAUUCAAAAAAUAGAACAAUUGGCUCUGUUCGAGCUUUUCUUCCUACAUGAUCUGAGUUCAGACCGG